CAAAAACUGAUUAAGUAAUAUCCCCAGCCUGGGAGGAGCUCUAACAUUACAAUUAUAAACAAUAUUCCUAAGUAGCUUGUCACUGGUACAAUAUGUAUUUUCGAAUAUUCUCGCAUUCCUUUCCAGCCAAACAACAUAAAACAUCUCCGUAAUUGUCAUUUUGAAUAUGUGAGCUCGAGGGGAUUUGCCUUUAGAUUUCUCAAUGAGCCACUGAACAAACUGAAGCCAGUUUUGUCCAGUGGGUUGCUUAAUUCCAAUCCAGUGCAACAUGUGAGUUCUCAGUUCAGUUGCAUAAGAGCAAUGCAGGAAUAAGUGUUCCCUAGUUUCCACAGCUUGUUGGCACAUGACACAAGUGUCUGUUACAUCCAGAUUCCAUUUGAUCAACCUUGUUUUGGUGGGCAGUCUAUCUUGCAGGAGC
Molecule: long non-coding RNA, 418 nt
Filed under: Nicotiana benthamiana
Lineage: Eukaryota; Viridiplantae; Streptophyta; Magnoliopsida; Solanales; Solanaceae
Description: long non-coding RNA (NBEN_LNC013725)
Source: RNAcentral